Molecule: RNase P RNA, 380 nt
Filed under: uncultured Pseudohongiella sp.
Lineage: Bacteria; Pseudomonadati; Pseudomonadota; Gammaproteobacteria; Pseudomonadales; Pseudohongiellaceae
Description: Bacterial RNase P class A
Rfam family: Bacterial RNase P class A
About the family: Ribonuclease P (RNase P) is a ubiquitous endoribonuclease, found in archaea, bacteria and eukarya as well as chloroplasts and mitochondria.
Source: RNAcentral
AGUCGGCCAGACAGUCGCUGCCAGACCUGCGUCUAUUACCGUUUUGGCGGUAAAUGAGGCACCUGGUGGAGGAAAGUCCGGGCUCCGCAGAGCAGAACGCCAGGUAACGCCUGGGAGGCGAAAGCCUACGGAAAGUGCAGCAGAGAGUAGACCGCCAACCCCGGCUUCGGCUGGGCGGUAAGGGUGAAAGGGUGCGGUAAGAGCGCACCGCGCGACUGGCAACAGUUCGUGGCACGGCAAACCCCGUUCGGAGCAAGGCCAAAUAGGGAUCCGAUGGUGCGGCUCGCACUGGAUCCGGGUAGGCUGCUUGAGGCCAGCAGUGAUGCUGGUCCCAGAUGAAUGACUGUCCCCGACAGAACCCGGCUUAUCGGCCGACUCGA